RNAcentral lists this ribosomal RNA (1430 nucleotides) under uncultured organism. RNAcentral describes it as "16S ribosomal RNA". It matches the Rfam family "Bacterial small subunit ribosomal RNA". The record is from RNAcentral.
CACAUGCAAGUCGAGGGGCAUCAGGACCAUAGCUUGCUUUCUUUGCUGGCGACCGGCGCACGGGUGAGUAACACGUAUCCAACCUGCCCUUUACUCGGGGAUAGCCUUUCGAAAGAAAGAUUAAUACCCGAUAGCAUAAUGAUUCCGCAUGGUUUCAUUAUUAAAGGAUUCCGGUAAAGGAUGGGGAUGCGUUCCAUUAGGUUGUUGGUGGGGUAACGGCCCACCAAGCCUUCGAUGGAUAGGGGUUCUGAGAGGAAGGUCCCCCACAUUGGAACUGAGACACGGUCCAAACUCCUACGGGAGGCAGCAGUGAGGAAUAUUGGUCAAUGGGCGCUAGCCUGAACCAGCCAAGUAGCGUGAAGGAUGAAGGCUCUAUGGGUCGUAAACUUCUUUUAUAUAAGAAUAAAGUGCAGUAUGUAUACUGUUUUGUAUGUAUUAUAUGAAUAAGGAUCGGCUAACUCCGUGCCAGCAGCCGCGGUAAUACGGAGGAUCCGAGCGUUAUCCGGAUUUAUUGGGUUUAAAGGGAGCGUAGGUGGACUGGUAAGUCAGUUGUGAAAGUUUGCGGCUCAACCGUAAAAUUGCAGUUGAUACUGUCAGUCUUGAGUACAGUAGAGGUGGGCGGAAUUCGUGGUGUAGCGGUGAAAUGCUUAGAUAUCACGAAGAACUCCGAUUGCGAAGGCAGCUCACUGGACUGCAACUGACACUGAUGCUCGAAAGUGUGGGUAUCAAACAGGAUUAGAUACCCUGGUAGUCCACACAGUAAACGAUGAAUACUCGCUGUUUGCGAUAUACAGUAAGCGGCCAAGCGAAAGCAUUAAGUAUUCCACCUGGGGAGUACGCCGGCAACGGUGAAACUCAAAGGAAUUGACGGGGGCCCGCACAAGCGGAGGAACAUGUGGUUUAAUUCGAUGAUACGCGAGGAACCUUACCCGGGCUUAAAUUGCAGUGGAAUGAUGUGGAAACAUGUCAGUGAGCAAUCACCGCUGUGAAGGUGCUGCAUGGUUGUCGUCAGCUCGUGCCGUGAGGUGUCGGCUUAAGUGCCAUAACGAGCGCAACCCUUAUCUUUAGUUACUAACAGGUCAUGCUGAGGACUCUAGAGAGACUGCCGUCGUAAGAUGUGAGGAAGGUGGGGAUGACGUCAAAUCAGCACGGCCCUUACGUCCGGGGCUACACACGUGUUACAAUGGGGGGUACAGAAGGCAGCUAGCGGGUGACCGUAUGCUAAUCCCAAAAGCCUCUCUCAGUUCGGAUCGAAGUCUGCAACCCGACUUCGUGAAGCUGGAUUCGCUAGUAAUCGCGCAUCAGCCACGGCGCGGUGAAUACGUUCCCGGGCCUUGUACACACCGCCCGUCAAGCCAUGGGAGCCGGGGGUACCUGAAGUACGUAACCGCAAGGAUCGUCCUAGGGUAAAACUGGUGACUGGGGCUAAG